Molecule: non-coding RNA, 30 nt
Filed under: Stygamoeba regulata
Lineage: Eukaryota; Discosea; Stygamoebida
Source: RNAcentral
AGGAGGAGCAGCAGGAGGUUCGUCUGCUGG